ACUCCUACGGGAGGCAGCAGUGAGGAAUAUUGGACAAUGGGCGGAAGCCUGAUCCAGCCAUGCCGCGUGCAGGAAGACGGCCCUAUGGGUUGUAAACUGUCUUUUGUACGGGAAGAACAAGGGCCACGUGUGGUCCGUUGACGGUACCGUAAGAAUAAGGACCGGCUAACUCCGUGCCAGCAGCCGCGGUAAUACGGAGGGUCCGAGCGUUAUCCGGAAUUAUUGGGUUUAAAGGGUCCGUAGGCGGGCCGUUAAGUCAGGGGUGAAAUGCUGCGGCUCAACCGUAUCACUGCCUUUGAUACUGGCGGUCUUGAAUCAUUGUGAAGUGGUUGGAAUAUGUAGUGUAGCGGUGAAAUGCAUAGAUAUUACAUAGAACACCGAUUGCGAAGGCAGAUCACUAACAAUGUAUUGACGCUGAUGGACGAAAGCGUGGUAGCGAACAGGAUUAGAUACCCUGGUAGACUGUCA
RNAcentral lists this ribosomal RNA (468 nucleotides) under uncultured bacterium. RNAcentral's name for it is "bacterial SSU rRNA". It matches the Rfam family "Bacterial small subunit ribosomal RNA", at positions 335 to 802 of the family's 1533-position model. The record is from RNAcentral.